Molecule: ribosomal RNA, 183 nt
Filed under: uncultured bacterium
Lineage: Bacteria
Description: partial 16S ribosomal RNA
Rfam family: Bacterial small subunit ribosomal RNA
Source: RNAcentral
ACAUGAAGCUGGAAUCGCUAGUAAUCGCGAAUCAGAAUGUCGCGGUGAAUACGUUCCCGGGUCUUGUACACACCGCCCGUCACACCAUGGGAGUCGGAAAUGCCCGAAGUCAAUGACCUAACCGAAAGGGAGGAGCUGCCGAAGGUGGAGCCGGUAACUGGGGUGAAGUCGUAACAAGGUAGC